AAAAGGAAACCUCUCAUAGCUCCUCUUGUCUCAUGAAGAAUCUGAGUAGAAAUAUGUGGAUUCCAAAGUGCUUACUCUUUGUAUUGCUUUCUUGUUUUGCCCUAAUAGUUGUGGUUUAUGUACAGGUCCCUCCAGGCUUCAUAAGCAUAGAUUGUGGAGCACUUGAAGGCACCAGCUACAAAGAUGAUACAACUGGAAUAGAUUAUAUUUCAGAUGAAGCUUUUGUAGACACUGGUGUGAGGAAGACUAUAUCCCCUGAAUUCAUGACUAAUUUUCUCCCACCACAGUUUAACAAAGUCAGAAGUUUUCCUCAAGGAACCAAAAACUGCUACACGCUGAGACCUGCACAAGGCAAAGGUAACACGUACUUGAUAAGGGCCAGGUUCAUGUAUGGAAACUAUGAUUCAAAAAAUCAAAUACCCCAAUUUGAUUUGUACAUCGGAGUUGAUUACUGGACCACAAUGAUGUUAGACGAUUCAUCAACUCCCUAUGAGCCGGAGAUCGUACAUGUUCCCUCCACGGAUUAUAUAUACGUUUGUCUCGUAAACAUAGGCCUUGGAACACCAUUCAUAUCAGCAUUAGAGCUAAGGCCUUUGGAUAAGUCUAUGUAUGAAACUACUUCUGGUUCGAUCACUUGGCCUCUUUAUGCGCUAUGAUUAUGGUUCAACCACCGAUGAAUAAGUCAGGAUACGGGAAAGAGGUAGCGGAUGACAAUCCAUCACAAGUGUAGACGGGAUUGGAUGUCUAUAUUUUGCUAUCUUUUGUAAUUGAACUUUAAUAUUUUGUAAAUAUAAUCUUGACUAUUUUGUAAAAUUUUAAUUUAAUUUGUAUAAAGUUGUAAGUUAUGAACUUUUAAUUUUAGCUAUAUUUCAUGGACUGUAACUUAAUGUAAUUAAAGUGCAUUCCUUAUAAAGGAUUAUGGGACUAGGUAGUGGAUUGGUAAUUCCAUAUUUAGAUGAGAUGGAGGAACGAGAUUCUUUUUAUAUGUAUGUGUUGAUUUUGGGAAUAUUGAAUAUUAUUUGUAUUGUGCGUUGGAACAUGAUAGAUUAGUUUUAAGGCCAAGUGAGACCGAUUUUUUUAUUUAUUUUUUAUUUUUUAUGUCACGACCCGAAAAUUCUAAUAAAAUUCUCAAUUUAUACAAAUUCAAAUACAUUAAAAUACACCCAGGAUUUAAAAAAAAAAAAUACCCUCUUUUAUACAAAAUCAAUUUCGUCAAUUUAUAUACAAAAUUCUCCAAAUAAAUAAAUAAAUCCUGCAACGCCGACUCUUCCACUUAAGCCUGAAUCUAACAAUCCACGUUC
Molecule: long non-coding RNA, 1301 nt
Organism: Cornus florida
Lineage: Eukaryota; Viridiplantae; Streptophyta; Magnoliopsida; Cornales; Cornaceae
Exons: 3
Source: RefSeq, a predicted model, not a curated record